CAGAGUCGGGGCCCCCCCCACUAUCCCGGGGCCCCCCAAAAUCCCCAGUGCCGCCCCUCCCCCCCCCAUGGCACCUUAGCGGCAUCGCAGCGACAUUCCAGCGGGGGGAGGGGCGGGCGUGCAAGGCGGGCGUGCAAGGGGCCGGGGGGAGGGGCCGGGGGUGGCAGUGAGCGUGUAAGGGGGGGGUGUGUGCAAUGUGAGUGUGCAAGGGGGGUGUUUGUGCAAUGUGAGCGUGCAAAGGGGGGUGUUUGUGCAAUGUGAGCGUGCAAAGGGGGUGUUUGUGCAAUGUGAGCGUGCAAGAGGGGUGUUUGUGCAAUGUGAGCGUGCAAAGGGGGGUGUUUGUGCAAUGUGAGUGUGCAAGGGGGGUGUUUGUGCAAUUCUGAGUGUGCAAGGGGGGUGUUUGUGCAAUGUGAGCGUGCAAAAGAGGUGUUUGUGCAAUGUGAGCGUGCAAAGGGGCGUGCAAAGGAUUCUCCUUGAGCAGUUGUGAGUGUGCAAACGGGUCCCCGUGCAAUUCUGAGCGUGCAAGGCCCCCCCUCGUGCAAUUCUGAGUGUGCAAGGCCCCCCCCGUGCAAAUCUGAGUGUGCAAACGGGUCCCCCGUGCAAUUCUGAGCGUGCAAGGCCCCCCCCUCAUGCAAUGGUGAGUGUGCAAGGCCCCCCUCGUGCAAGGCCCGGCUCUGGGGGCGAUCCUCGUGCAAACCCCCCCUUGCACACCCCCCCGCCCCCCUUGC
Haemorhous mexicanus (house finch) is the source of this 728-nucleotide long non-coding RNA. RefSeq lists it as uncharacterized. The transcript has 3 exons. NCBI's taxonomy places the organism in Eukaryota, Metazoa, Chordata, Aves, Passeriformes, Fringillidae. The record is from RefSeq and is a predicted model, not a curated record.